This 368-nucleotide long non-coding RNA is filed under the name Phasianus colchicus (ring-necked pheasant). Its description in RNAcentral is "lncRNA (ENSPCLG00000006981.1)". The record is from RNAcentral. Lineage: Eukaryota; Metazoa; Chordata; Aves; Galliformes; Phasianidae.
CUGUCCACAUGACGUGAGCAGCACACUCCCCUGCAAACCACCCACAGAUCACUCUGGAGCCGAAAAACCCAGUCACAGAGACAGCAAAGAAAAAUGAAAAGCCCCACAUUUGAAACUCAGGAACAGACGAUAUGCGGAGAUGUCUACGUAGUGCCAGCCAAGGAACUGCAUAUUCUGCAAGGUCACUGAAUGCAUGCUUGACUCUGAAGUAGUUUGGACAAUGAUUUGAAGCGGAUUAAUAAGAAAAAGCUGUUACUACGUAGAGGCAGCGUUAGAAAAAUUACACAGAACACAAAGGGAAAUCUGCCCCUGGAUUUUUAGGUAAGCUGAGGGGAAUCUCUGCCGCCUUUUCCCCUCCUUUACUUUUU